This 502-nucleotide ribosomal RNA is filed under the name uncultured bacterium. RNAcentral describes it as "bacterial SSU rRNA". It matches the Rfam family "Bacterial small subunit ribosomal RNA", at positions 28 to 517 of the family's 1533-position model. The record is from RNAcentral.
GAUGAACGCUAGCGGCAGGCCUAAUACAUGCAGGUCGUACGGCAACACAGUUGCGAGCAAUCGCAACCGGUGGCGAGUGGCGCACGGGUGAGUAACGCGUAUGUAACCUACCCUUCUCCGGGACAUAACUCCGCGAAAGCGGUGCUAAUAUCCCAUACCAACUCAUCAAGACAUCUUCUUGAGUUGAAAGCAGCAAUGCGGUGAAGGAUGGGCAUGCGUCCCAUUAGCUGGUUGGUGAGGUAAUGGCCCACCAAGGCUACGAUGGGUAGGGGUUCUGAGAGGAAAGCCCCCCACACUGGUACUGAGACACGGACCAGACUCCUACGGGAGGCAGCAGUAAGGAAUAUUGGGCAAUGGUCGAAAGACUGACCCAGCCAUGCCGCGUGCAGGAUGAAGGCCCUAUGGGUUGUAAACUGCUUUUAGCCGGGAAUAAACACCCGUUUUAUAACGGGCCCGAAGGUACCGGCUGAAUAAGCAUCGGCUAACUCCGUGCCAGCAGCCG